ACAACGAAGAGUUUGAUCCUGGCUCAGGAUGAACGCUAGCGACAGGCUUAACACAUGCAAGUCGAGGGGCAGCGGGGAGGUAGCAAUACUUCCGCCGGCGACCGGCGCACUGGUGAGUAACACGUAUGCAACCUGCCCCUGGUUGGGGGAUAACCCGCGGAAACGCGGCCUAAUACCCCGUAUGCGCUGUGGCCGCAUGACCGCAGCGUGAAAGAGCUUCGUCCAGGGAUGGGCAUGCGGCGCAUUAGCUAGUUGGCGGGGCAACGGCCCACCAAGGCAACGAUGCGUAGGGGUUCUGAGAGGACGGUCCCCCACACUGGUACUGAGACACGGACCAGACUCCUACGGGCGGCAGCCGUGCGGAAUCUUGGACAAUGGACGCGAGUCUGCACCAGCCAAGUCGCGUGAGGGAUGACUGCCCUACGGGUUGUAAACCUCUUUUGUUCGGGAAUAAAGUGCGGCACGCGUGCCGUUUUGUAUGUACCGUUCGAAUAAGGACCGGCUAAUUCCGUGCCAGCAGCCGCGGUAAUACGGAAGGUCCAGGCGUUAUCCGGAUUUAUUGGGUUUAAAGGGUGCGCAGGCGGCGCGUCAAGUCAGCGGUCAAACUGCGGGGCUCAACCCCGUACCGCCGUUGAAACUGGCGUGCUUGAGUCUGUGGGACGGCGGCGGAAUGCGCGGUGUAGCGGUGAAAUGCAUAGAUAUCACGCAGAACUCCGAUUGCGAAGGCAGCUGCCGACCACAUCACUGACGCUCAUGCACGAAAGCGUGGGUAUCGAACAGGAUUAGA
This 787-nucleotide ribosomal RNA is filed under the name Muribaculaceae bacterium. Its description in RNAcentral is "bacterial SSU rRNA". It matches the Rfam family "Bacterial small subunit ribosomal RNA", at positions 1 to 782 of the family's 1533-position model. Lineage: Bacteria; Pseudomonadati; Bacteroidota; Bacteroidia; Bacteroidales; Muribaculaceae. The record is from RNAcentral.